Molecule: ribosomal RNA, 429 nt
Filed under: uncultured bacterium
Lineage: Bacteria
Description: bacterial SSU rRNA
Rfam family: Archaeal small subunit ribosomal RNA
Source: RNAcentral
GCGAGAAAACUUUGCAAUGUGCGAAAGCACGACAAGGUUAAUCCGAGUGGUUUCUGCUAAAGAAACCUUUUGUCAGUCCUAGAAACACUAACGAAUAAGGGGUGGGCAAGUUCUGGUGUCAGCCGCCGCGGUAAAACCAGCACCUCAAGUGGUCAGGAUGAUUAUUGGGCCUAAAGCAUCCGUAGCUCGUUUUGUAAGUUUCGGUUAAAUCCAUGCGCUUAACGUAUGGGCUGCCGGGAAUACUGCAUAACUAGGAAGUGGGAGAGGUAGACGGUACUCGGUAGGAAGGGGUAAAAUCCUUUGAUCUAUUGAUGACCACCUGUGGCGAAGGCGGUCUACCAGAACACGUUCGACGGUGAGGGAUGAAAGCUGGGGGAGCAAACCGGAUUAGAUACCCCAGUAGUCCCUGAGCGGGCUGGCAAGGCGCAU